RNAcentral lists this ribosomal RNA (477 nucleotides) under uncultured bacterium. RNAcentral describes it as "partial 16S ribosomal RNA". It matches the Rfam family "Bacterial small subunit ribosomal RNA", at positions 28 to 507 of the family's 1533-position model. The record is from RNAcentral.
GAUGAACGCUGGCGGCGUGCCUAAUACAUGCAAGUCGAGCGAACGGACGAGAAGCUUGCUUCUCUGAUGUUAGCGGCGGACGUGCGAGUAACACGUGGAUCACCUACCUAUAAGACUGGGAUAACUUCGGGAAACCGGAGCUAAUACCGGAUAAUAUUUUGAACCGCAUGGUUCAAAAGUGAAAGACGGUCUUGCUGUCACCUGUGGAUGGAUCCGCGCUGCAUUAGCUAGUUGGUGGGGUAGCGGCUUACCAAGGCAACGAUGCGUAGCCGGCCUGAGAGGGUGACCGGCCACAUUGGGACUGAGAUACGGCCCAGACUCCUACGGGAGGCAGCAGUGGGGAAUAUUGCACAAUGGGCGGAAGCCUGAUGCAGCAACGCCGGGUGCGGGAUGACGGCCUUCGGGUUGUAAACCGAUUUCGCCUGUGACGAAGCGGGAGUGACGGUAAUGGGUAAAGAAGCACCGGCUAACUACGUG